GUCAUCAUGGUAAAAGAAGACUAAGCAAAAACGAGGGUUUUAAACUUGUGUCUGUGCUUAACAUAACCUGGGGUUUUCUUUCUAUCAGCAAAUACAGAGGCUUUAGGUGAAGAUUAAGCAUGGACUGGAUUUGGAUACAUUUCUCUUACUUGUAGCUUAAACUAGGAGGAAAACUCAUCUGGCUCGCUCUGGAAAAAGUACCCGUGAGCACAAAAUAGAAUGAAUGUGGAAGAAAAAUAUCCAUAAAGGCAGCAAAAAGACUGGACAAUCUCCAACAGAGCAAAUUGAUGUCUAGCUAAGAAGCCUGAUGACAUUGUCUUAAAGGAUGGACGUGCAGAUGGUGAAAAGGACACUGAAACAUGAAGGAGGAAAAGAAUCAUGGAGAAAGGAUUAAAAUGAAGGAAUGAAAAUAGAAGGAGUGGGGAAGUUCAGGUGUUCACACAUCUGCUCUAACAUAGUGAGUGAAGAAGGAUGGCACUUCAUGAGGAUCUGCAGAAGGGCGGAUAUAAAUAAACCAAAGCUCAAGCUGAAGGCCAGUAAUUGUAUCAUGGUGUUAAAAUGGGUGCCUUGUGUGUAGUAUGACAUCUUUUGCUAGCAUUUCCAGUGUGAUUCACAGGGACCACAGAUCCCUGUACCAUCUCAGCUGCAAUAACCCCACACCUUGACCAAAGCACAUCAAAAAAAUUAAAAAGCAUGC
Molecule: long non-coding RNA, 697 nt
Filed under: Rattus norvegicus (Norway rat)
Lineage: Eukaryota; Metazoa; Chordata; Mammalia; Rodentia; Muridae
Description: long non-coding RNA NONRATT032706
Source: RNAcentral